CUCAAAUUUAAAAAGUAAUUGAAGAGGAGCUAGUAACUUGAUAAAGAGGAGAGAUAAGCUACUCACAGAAGAUGAAUCGAAGAAAAUGAGAGGCAAAGCUGAAAAGGAAGGUUACUAUGGCAACCAGAGAACUCACCUUUCCCCCACAGUGACAGUUAAGGUCAGAAGGAGCCCGGGGUCCCAGUUGGUGCCAUCGGAAUUGAAGAAAUCAGGACUCCAUCCAGGACACCAUGUUGCAUUCACUCAUCAUGUCUCCUCAAAUCUGUAACAGUUUUGCAGUCUUUCUUUAUUUUCCAUGACCUUGACAGUCUUGAGGAGUCCUAGCAUGAAAUAUAGAGUGAUGGAUCAAGCACCACUGCUCCAGAUCUGGGAAGCACGACCGUGACAGCAUCUGAGAGACAGCAGAGAUGUAUCUAUAAGAAAAUCAAGGAAUCUGCUCUUCCCAGCCUCGCGUUCUCUUGAAUUCAUUUUUGUUCACAAACCUUGAAUAUAAACUUAUGUUUGAUUAUCGUUCACAUGUUUUGUGUGUGACAAUUUUUCUGAACUUGAGCAAAAAGUAAAAACCAACCACAACGGUUCACAUUCCCUAUUAUUAUUUUUUUGUUUUUCCAGCUGAUCAAGAGGCAGAAGAAAAGUGAGAAAGACAUUGAGGACAAACAUUUAGUUAACACACCCACACAAACCCAGCAUUGGAGGGAACAUCCUUCACUUGGGGUGACAAGUGGUGAUGACUUGUCACAGUUGUCUCAGUCUGAAGGAGACCAGGCAGGUGUAUCAUCACACAGCUUCUGCGGUGGAUGCACAGAGCCUCUAGAAGUGCUCCCAGUUCAGAGAGAGGAGCAGGGUGUGGAGAGAGCCCUCAGGCCCCCAGCCCCAGCACCGGCCUCAAGGAGAGGCGAUAAGAGGCCAGGAUGCGGUCAGGUGGGACUGCAGAAACAAAAAGUGGAACUUCUACCAGAAGCAGACUACAAUCAAGUGCUGAUCAUGAAGUUUAGAUCGACGAUGGACCCCAUAGACGACGGUGGUCCCAAAAGAAUGAAAAAUCCUUCCUCAUUGGAGGAACGUUUGAAAAUAGCGCUGACAACUCUCUGGAGAACUGGAAUCCCAUCCCCGUGGAAGGAGAAGAAGGUUUGCUCUGACAAUCCCACUCAAACGACGCAGCUCGAGUUUCUCCUCUCUCCUCAAGCUGCUGUUCCGGGGUGAGGUGGUGCCUGCAUCCAGGGUCAAGAAUGUAGCGCUCUGCUGUGAUUUACUGCUGAAUGUCACCCAGUCACAGAAUCCUACUCCAGAGUAGGAAGAGCCCAGCGUGCAGCACAGAGUGGUCCUCUCAGUCUGGACUUUGUGGUGUGGAAGAGCGGAGGAUCCCGUCUACAAGGUCUGGAGGAGUGGGGUGUCCCAGCACUUCUCAUCCUGGUCACCAGACACUGCAGAGGAGGAAAAAUAAUUUUCUCUCCACUCUUUAUGAUGCUUUUCUUCAAAAACACAAAAUAUUGCAGAGACAGCCACAGUCACAGACCGACCCACAUCUCAUUCCCUCCCUCCUCUACUGAAGCUAUUCUGCGUCAUUCCCAUGCAAAGUUUUGAACUUUAGUGAUAAAUGCAUGUCUCUAUAUGCAAAAUAAAAUAUUAUUCUAUGUUUUGAAAAUUUAGAAGUAUUUAUUCUUAUUGUAUUUACCAUUCUUCAAUUUGCUUCUUCUGUCAAUAUUAGACUUCUUGAAACAUAAUACAUCUAGUUUAUUAAUAUUUACUAUUAUAUAGCAUUCCAUUUUAUGACCACUCCCGAAUUUACUUUCCUGUUAUUUAUUCAUGGACUUUUUAAGGUUAUUUCCGAGUUUCUGCAAGUAUAAAUGUCUCUGUGGUAUAUUUUCUUGUAUGUAUGUGUGUGCAGUAACUUUGUUGGGCUUUAUGCCUAGGAGUGGAAUUGGCUGGGUUGUGGCAGGUUUACGUAUACAACUGAGCCAGAUAUUCUCAACUGCCCUUCAAAGAGGCUGCCCCAAUUCACAGCCCUGCUGGCAGUACAGCGUGAGUGUUGCU
RNAcentral lists this long non-coding RNA (2034 nucleotides) under Equus caballus (horse). RNAcentral describes it as "lncRNA (ENSECAG00000035377.3)". Lineage: Eukaryota; Metazoa; Chordata; Mammalia; Perissodactyla; Equidae. The record is from RNAcentral.